RNAcentral lists this long non-coding RNA (620 nucleotides) under Homo sapiens (human). Its description in RNAcentral is "HSALNT0334064". Lineage: Eukaryota; Metazoa; Chordata; Mammalia; Primates; Hominidae. The record is from RNAcentral.
CAGCGAGCCAGCUGUGCUGCCACGAGGAGCUGGGUCAGGAUGUUCAGACCUCCUCAGCACCCCCUCCCCACCCAGUCUCCACCUCGGGGAAGGGAGUGGUGGCUUGGGCCACCGUGGAGGGGAGGGAGGGCACUAAUUGGAUUGGAACACUCCUGAAACACAUCAGCUGCUCCUCCCUGGGGGAGGGGGAGGAGGAAAGCUGCAGACUGUCUUUGUGAUCGGCUCAGCCUCUCCCUCCCAGCAGCCUCGCCCUGACCUGGUCCUCACUGGCCUCUGCCCACCUAUCGCUGUCCUGGGGCACAAUGGCAAGAUCUUUGUAAAAUGGAGGAGGCAGACACCGGAUCAGAUAAUCACCAAAAUGAAAUUCAGCCUUGAUAUGAAGGCCCCCCGUCUUUCCAGCACCUUUUCUCAUCAGCUCAGCUAUGCCAACCUGGUCUUCCUUAAACCUUGGGAGCAUUUGCUUUUUCCUAUUUCAUUUGGCACCCAGAGAGCUGCUCAUCAUUUAAGCGUGUGUGUGCUCACCAAUUAAACUACAAUAUAAACUUUAAGAGGCAGGACCCAUGUUAUCAUUGUCAUGGCCCACCUUGACCAUGAAGAACGAGACAGGCCAGGCGCAGUGG